This is a long non-coding RNA of Oncorhynchus tshawytscha (Chinook salmon), 813 nucleotides long. The record is from Ensembl. NCBI's taxonomy places the organism in Eukaryota, Metazoa, Chordata, Actinopteri, Salmoniformes, Salmonidae.
CUGUAGUACCAUCAUGAUUGUUCUAUUUGUCUAAUUUGUUAGAAAUGCAUCUACCUUUUGAUUGUCAGUUGCUGGUCAACCUGUCACUGCUCAUCACAGAAACGAGGUCUGCAUUUCAAAAAGAAACAGCCCUCUUUGCCACAUAUCCAAUCAGAUCUCAGACGCUACCUACUGCAGCACAUUCCAGUCCACAUGCAGAGUCUUCAGACGCUGGCAGCUGGCCUCAACCAAGCAGCUCUAUCCCAAAAGCCACAAACUCCUCAAUGUCACCUACACCACUUCCUAGAGAAAUAGUGCGUGUUUAGGGUAUCAGCCAGGCCUGGCACCUUUGCAUCCGAGCCAGACCGAAGCCCCUGCGGUGGACGAGUGGUUUCAGCACAAGGAACAGGCCGACCGCCACCACAGUGAGGCACCUGUCUUCUCUCCAGGCGACCGGGUCUGGCUCUCCACCCUCCGCCUGCCCCUCGGCCUGCACUGCCGGAAGCUGAGCCUGCGGCCAGUGGUGCCUGGUCCCCUCGCUGAGGCUGAACCCAGGUCCGGCGUACUCAGUCCGUGAAGUCCUGGAAUCGAGGCAUUUGGCGGGGCGUCUCCAGUACCUCAUCGACCUGGAGGGGUAUGGCCCAGAGGAGCGGUGCUGGGUUCCUGCGGUGGACCCGCACCGCGUCCCUGUGGUUGUCCCUGAGGCCGGUGUCAUCCCGCAGUUAAUAUGGGCAGUCAGUAGUUAGUCAACUUACAGUAAAUGGAAAAUAUGAACAAAUACCAACAUGUUUUUAAUCAAGUUAAAUAUUUCUUUAAUACACAACACAUCCCAAC